GGGGAGUGAAAUAGAACCUGAAAUUGUGUGCGUACAAGGACUCGGAGCAAGAUUUAUCUUGUGACGGGGUGCUUUUUGUAGAACGAUCCAGCGAGUUAUUUGUUAGUGCAAGCUUAAGUCAAUUGACGGAGGCACAGUGAAAGCGAGGCUGAAUAGGCCGAAAUAGUACUAAUAAAUAGACCCGAAACCAGGUGACCUAACCAUGGGCAGGUUGAAGCGUCUGUAAAAGGACGUGGAGGACCGAAC
Molecule: ribosomal RNA, 246 nt
Filed under: Pycnococcus provasolii
Lineage: Eukaryota; Viridiplantae; Chlorophyta; Pseudoscourfieldiophyceae; Pseudoscourfieldiales; Pycnococcaceae
Description: partial Bacterial large subunit ribosomal RNA
Rfam family: Bacterial large subunit ribosomal RNA
Source: RNAcentral